Homo sapiens (human) is the source of this 1377-nucleotide long non-coding RNA. Ensembl annotates it as ST3GAL6 antisense RNA 1. Its record names the gene ST3GAL6-AS1. The record is from Ensembl. Lineage: Eukaryota; Metazoa; Chordata; Mammalia; Primates; Hominidae.
AUCUUCCCAUCUCAAGAUUCUUCACUUAAUCACAUCUGCAAAAUUCCUUUUGCUGUCCUGAAAAGUAUCUUGCAUACACAACUGGCAGCACAGAAUCCUGACAAACCUCUCAUCAGAAAUCAACCACAGACUCUUUAUGCUCUUACCAAAAUGCUGGCUUUGAGAACUAAUUAUGAAUGAAAAUUACUGAUGUGAUUUUCAGUCUAGGGAAGAAUAUCAAGUUAAACUUUAUGAAGUCCAAGACAAUGGGAAAAGAAGAGGUGUUCCUGUCCAGGCCCUCUUCCAGUUAGAAGGUGAUGGUUUCCAGAAGUCUGCACCUGUAUUUCAAUUACCUAUAAUGGAGUUUAUAGGACUAAACUAUAUUCACUAUAUUUUCUUAUUUUUGUGUGUGUGUUUGAUGUGCUGGCAACUGGGGACUUGGUAACUGGGGAGGGAUAGCUCUUCUCAGGAAGAGCUAAUUCUUAGAGAUACAGGGAGCAUGCUUUUCAUAUGCAAACUACUCAAACUGGAGUCCACACUUCCCCAACCUCCUCUAUAGGACUCUUACUCUCCUGCCCGAUAUUCCCCUGCUCUAAUCAUCUUGGGGCCAGGUACCAGGCAACUCAGGACGGCCACUACACCUCCAGAGCCCACUGACAUUAUUAAAACUAGACAAUUCUAAGCUGCUUGCCCUACCUUGACCUUAUUCCUUUUGUUGCAAAACGCAAUAAAGGGUCUUGCCACAUUUUCCUUCUGCUCCCUCUGCCUCCGGACUGACCCUGGUGCUUUCCUUUGUGGGCCUUCGUGGCUUACCUCGUGUUUCUAGGAACCUGCAAGUGUAAAAACUUCUUUCUUCAUGACAGUCAUUUCCAUGACUGCUGCCUUACUAUACCUGAUUUAAACAAAUCCUGAGCACAUUUUAAAACAUAAAUUCAACAGCUGGACCUGCUAUGCAGAGCAAUUCAGGCGGAGGGAAUGGCUCAUGCACACUCUCCAAGUACUGUUAGGUAUGAGUUCUAAAUUUCUCUUCAAAGAAUCAAUAUGUCAGUAUGUUCAGUUCUUUGCCUUCUACUGUUAAACUUAACUUCCUCGUAAAGCAACCUUUUUCCAUUACCUGCUCCACCCUGACUCAUUCUGAUUACCUGCUCAUUCUCCACCCUGGCUUACUCUGAUUUCCUGCUCUGCCCUGUAACCAUUUUUCCCGCCAAACCACUCACCCUGUCACUCUCUUUAAAUUAGCCAAUUGGAAUUAGUUUAGCCUGUGCAGUCUAACCCAAGCCAAUAGGGGAACCAUACAGCAGCAGGGACCACGUGCCUCAGGGAUAAGAACCCCUUCCCCUCCCUUGUCCAAGUGUGCGCUCACGAUUGCUCCAUCUGUAAGGGUGCACCCUUCUAUAG